This 253-nucleotide ribosomal RNA is filed under the name uncultured bacterium. RNAcentral's name for it is "partial 16S ribosomal RNA". It matches the Rfam family "Bacterial small subunit ribosomal RNA", at positions 524 to 776 of the family's 1533-position model. The record is from RNAcentral.
UACGUAGGGUGCAAGCGUUAAUCGGAGUUACUGGGCGUAAAGCGUGCGCAGGCGGUUGUGCAAGACCGAUGUGAAAUCCCCGGGCUUAACCUGGGAAUGGCAUUGGUGACUGCACGGCUAGAGUGUGUCAGAGGGGGGUAGAAUUCCACGUGUAGCAGUGAAAUGCGUAGAGAUGUGGAGGAAUACCGAUGGCGAAGGCAGCCCCCUGGGAUAACACUGACGCUCAUGCACGAAAGCGUGGGGAGCAAACAGG